Molecule: ribosomal RNA, 449 nt
Filed under: uncultured bacterium
Lineage: Bacteria
Description: partial 16S ribosomal RNA
Rfam family: Bacterial small subunit ribosomal RNA
Source: RNAcentral
AACGAACGCUGGCGGCAGGCUUAACACAUGCAAGUCGAACGCUGUAGCAAUACAGAGUGGCAGACGGGUGAGUAACGCGUGGGAACGUGCCUUUCGGUUCGGAAUAACUCAGGGAAACUUGAGCUAAUACCGGAUACGCCCUUAGGGGGAAAGAUUUAUUGCCGAAAGAUCGGCCCGCGUCCGAUUAGCUAGUUGGUGAGGUAAUGGCUCACCAAGGCGACGAUCGGUAGCUGGUCUGAGAGGAUGAUCAGCCACACUGGGACUGAGACACGGCCCAGACUCCUACGGGAGGCAGCAGUGGGGAAUAUUGGACAAUGGGCGCAAGCCUGAUCCAGCCAUGCCGCGUGAGUGAUGAAGGCCCUAGGGUUGUAAAGCUCUUUCGCCAGGGACGAUAAUGACGGUACCUGGAUAAGAAGCCCCGGCUAACUUCGUGCCAGCCGCCGCCGUAA